This is a long non-coding RNA of Lemur catta (Ring-tailed lemur), 298 nucleotides long. RefSeq lists it as uncharacterized. Lineage: Eukaryota; Metazoa; Chordata; Mammalia; Primates; Lemuridae. The transcript is spliced from 3 exons. The record is from RefSeq and is a predicted model, not a curated record.
AAACACCACACGUACUCUCUAAUAAUUGGGAGCUGAAUGAUGGACACACACAGGAACUGACCAUUUGCAAAACCAGAAACCAAAGCAAAAUUGAAUCGUGCAAAUGACAUCAAAACAGGAAAAGGCAGAUAUAUCUAACUGAGCCUGUUUUAAAGAAGUGAAGCCUCUGGUAUGUCAGAGCUGCACAGUCUUCCAUGGGACUUCCUUUGUGAACAGCUUCCAUUUAAAAGACUUGUAUGAAUACAUUGUUUCAAUCAAGUCCCUGAAGAACACAUUUGUCCUCUGAGCUGCUGGCAGU